Molecule: long non-coding RNA, 808 nt
Organism: Nomascus leucogenys (northern white-cheeked gibbon)
Lineage: Eukaryota; Metazoa; Chordata; Mammalia; Primates; Hylobatidae
Exons: 2
Source: RefSeq, a predicted model, not a curated record
UGGGAGAGCCAUCACUGGAGAGGUGGCAUUGGCACCAGUACCCAGGCCAGAAGCCCCUUGUGCCCUGCUCUCAGAACACAAGCCCCAGACCAGGAAGGUACCUUGCUAAAGAAGGGGACCCGAAACCGCAGCUACCAGCGCCGGUGGUUCAUCCUCUGAGGAAACCUCCUCUUCUACCUAUAACACUAGACCGACCAUGCACCCCUGGGCCUCAUCCUGUUAAGAGAACUGCCAGGUGGAGCCACACCUUAAGGCCGCAGAACCCUAUGCCUUUACCAUCCUGACCCCUGGUGUGGAGGGCACAGGUGGGCGGGCCUACAAGCUGGCUGCAGAAACCCAGGAAGAGCUGGAGACUUGGCUGUGGGCACUGGCUGGCGUGAGCUGGAGGUGGCUGGCUGGGCUGCUGCCCCCGCCCAACCAAGACCCAAUACUGGGAGCUGUGCCAGGCAGCUGGCCAAGAGCCCAUCUCAUCCCCAGAGGACAGUGGCUUUCUAGCCACUGUGAGUACCCCCUCCAGCUUCCAGAAGUUGCAUGAGCACUUUGGGAAGGAGAUCCGGGUGCUGCAGGUGGUACAGAGAGCUCCAGGCAGCCAGUGACAAUGGAGACAGCAGAUCCCAGGCAAAGAUGGAGUAGGAGCUCAACCAGUGUCUGAUGAGUGAUUAAGAGAUGGAUCCAAAGCCAAGAGGUACCUACUUGCCAAGACAGCAGGCUGCUUCAACAGAGACCCAGGUCCUGGCUCUGUCCCUCCCUCCUUCGUCCUUACCCCAUCCCCCCCCCUCAUCAAAUAACAAGGUAGGAGACAGGCCCA